CGACGACGGCAGCAGGGGGCGCAGCCGCAGCGAGAACCUGUAGCUCGCCGCCGGCGACAGCAGGUAUUCCUCGUGCACGCAUGGCGUCCAGCUGUCGUCCCCGCCCACCCCCAUGUGCCUGUGAUCAAGACGGACCUCGAUGUCGUCCCCCUUGACGAGCUUGUGCUGAUGGGUGGCCCGGUCGAGCUCCGCGGCGCCGUAGUAGCUGGCGCUCACCUGCAUCGGCGGGGACUCGCCGUGGGUCGAGGCGAAGAGGCCGAACCCGUCGGCGUUCUUAAGCGCCACCCACCGGACGUCUGCACGGCCGCCGCACUCGCCCGGGACGAUGUAGGGCACGUGGAGGUCCUCCACGCCGCUCUCGUACACGCCGACGUGCGCCGCGGCCUUGCGGUCGGGGUAGCACUCGAACGGCCCUCUCCCGUACCAUGUGACAUGGUUCAGGGAUUUCUCUGCAUUGAACACGACGCCCACCCGUGGGAGAGGGGGGAGGUCGCUCUUGGGGUUUACCUCGUAUUCGAGGAUUACGUCCCCUGA
This 534-nucleotide ribosomal RNA is filed under the name Triticum aestivum (bread wheat). RNAcentral's name for it is "partial small subunit ribosomal RNA". The record is from RNAcentral. Lineage: Eukaryota; Viridiplantae; Streptophyta; Magnoliopsida; Poales; Poaceae.